Molecule: ribosomal RNA, 254 nt
Filed under: uncultured prokaryote
Description: partial 16S ribosomal RNA
Rfam family: Bacterial small subunit ribosomal RNA
Source: RNAcentral
ACGAAGGGGGCAAGCGUUGUUCGGAAUUAUUGGGCGUAAAGGGCGCGUAGGCGGAUCUGUGUGUCUGGCGUGAAAUCUCCACCACUUAACGGGGAGAGGUCGCUGGAAACUGCAGAUCUGGAGUUUGUUAGAGGACCAUGGAAUUCCAGGUGUAGCGGUGGAAUGCGUAGAUAUCUGGAAGAACACCGGUGGCGAAGGCGGUGGUCUGGGACAAAACUGACGCUGAGGCGCGAAAGCCAGGGGAGCAAACGGGA